RNAcentral lists this long non-coding RNA (568 nucleotides) under Marmota monax (woodchuck). The record is from RNAcentral. Lineage: Eukaryota; Metazoa; Chordata; Mammalia; Rodentia; Sciuridae.
AAGGGAGAACGAGUGGUCACUUCUACGGUGCCGGCGCACGUGAGGUAUAGGCACUCACCUACAUAAUGGUGAUUGGAGCAUUUAUUUAGCACCCAGUGUGUGCAAAUGCGCCUGCGAGCUCCAAGGCCCCCUUCACAGGCAUGCAACCGGUGUGCCGCACAGGCCCGGGUAUAAUGCCCUGCUGUUCCAGUCUUGAAAUUCCUGGUUCAGAUUCCUUGAAACUUUGGGAGUUUCAUUUUGUACUGGGCUUUGCAAAUUGUGUGGCCUGUCCUGGUGAGCUUUCUUUUAUUUAACCUUAGCAACAACCCUGCAGGAAAAUAGAGGUGAUGGUAAUACUAGGGUUAGUGACAGCACGGCUUCUCAUUCUGAAAUCCAGGUGCCCUAACAUGAGGUGUUCUAAUCGCUCUUUAAAUGAAACAGGAUUACAAAGUGGGUAUUAGAAUAAUGUAAUGCACUUUUAAGAUAAGGCAACCAACCCUCAAGGAAGAAUGAAAUAAAUUGUUCAAGAAUAUAUAAAUGACAAAUAGUUGGGUGACAAUAAGACCCCAGAUCAGAAAACUAAAGCAUA